Molecule: ribosomal RNA, 446 nt
Filed under: uncultured bacterium
Lineage: Bacteria
Description: partial 16S ribosomal RNA
Rfam family: Bacterial small subunit ribosomal RNA
Source: RNAcentral
AACGAACGCUGGCGGCAGGCCUAACACAUGCAAGUCGAGCGCCCCGCAAGGGGAGCGGCGGACGGGUGAGUAACGCGUGGGAACGUGCCCUUUGCUACGGAAUAGCCUCGGGAAACUGAGAGUAAUACCGUAUGUGCCCUUCGGGGGAAAGAUUUAUCGGCAAAGGAUCGGCCCGCGUUGGAUUAGGUAGUUGGUGGGGUAAUGGCCUACCAAGCCGACGAUCCAUAGCUGGUUUGAGAGGAUGAUCAGCCACACUGGGACUGAGACACGGCCCAGACUCCUACGGGAGGCAGCAGUGGGAAUCUUAGACAAUGGGCGCAAGCCUGAUCUAGCCAUGCCGCGUGAGCGAUGAAGGCCUUAGGGUUGUAAAGCUCUUUCGUGGGGGAAGAUAAUGACUGUACCCCAAGAAGAAGCCCCGGCUAACUCCGUGCCAGCCGCCGCGGUAA